Molecule: long non-coding RNA, 2422 nt
Filed under: Homo sapiens (human)
Lineage: Eukaryota; Metazoa; Chordata; Mammalia; Primates; Hominidae
Rfam family: mir-155 microRNA precursor family (bases 521-585)
Source: RNAcentral
AAUUCAGAAAGGCAUUGUAGGCAUCUGUAACCAGCAGAGGGACGUGCCCCACCUGGGUGGGGACCAUGCAUCCUUGCCACAUGCCCCACUGCACAACUUCCCCAGCUCCUCAACGUCACAUGGAUCUGGAAAGCAGGGAGACUGGACUACGGAGCCAGCCCUCCAGGGUUGGAACUGAGUUUGAAUCUCAGCUUGACUACUUACUAGGAUCUAAGGCGCGGGCUUCCUGUGCGCGGCCGAGCCCGGGCCCAGCGCCGCCUGCAGCCUCGGGAAGGGAGCGGAUAGCGGAGCCCCGAGCCGCCCGCAGAGCAAGCGCGGGGAACCAAGGAGACGCUCCUGGCACUGCAGAUAACUUGUCUGCAUUUCAAGAACAACCUACCAGAGACCUUACCUGUCACCUUGGCUCUCCCACCCAAUGGAGAUGGCUCUAAUGGUGGCACAAACCAGGAAGGGGAAAUCUGUGGUUUAAAUUCUUUAUGCCUCAUCCUCUGAGUGCUGAAGGCUUGCUGUAGGCUGUAUGCUGUUAAUGCUAAUCGUGAUAGGGGUUUUUGCCUCCAACUGACUCCUACAUAUUAGCAUUAACAGUGUAUGAUGCCUGUUACUAGCAUUCACAUGGAACAAAUUGCUGCCGUGGGAGGAUGACAAAGAAGCAUGAGUCACCCUGCUGGAUAAACUUAGACUUCAGGCUUUAUCAUUUUUCAAUCUGUUAAUCAUAAUCUGGUCACUGGGAUGUUCAACCUUAAACUAAGUUUUGAAAGUAAGGUUAUUUAAAAGAUUUAUCAGUAGUAUCCUAAAUGCAAACAUUUUCAUUUAAAUGUCAAGCCCAUGUUUGUUUUUAUCAUUAACAGAAAAUAUAUUCAUGUCAUUCUUAAUUGCAGGUUUUGGCUUGUUCAUUAUAAUGUUCAUAAACACCUUUGAUUCAACUGUUAGAAAUGUGGGCUAAACACAAAUUUCUAUAAUAUUUUUGUAGUUAAAAAUUAGAAGGACUACUAACCUCCAGUUAUAUCAUGGAUUGUCUGGCAACGUUUUUUAAAAGAUUUAGAAACUGGUACUUUCCCCCAGGUAACGAUUUUCUGUUCAGGCAACUUCAGUUUAAAAUUAAUACUUUUAUUUGACUCUUAAAGGGAAACUGAAAGGCUAUGAAGCUGAAUUUUUUUAAUGAAAUAUUUUUAACAGUUAGCAGGGUAAAUAACAUCUGACAGCUAAUGAGAUAUUUUUUCCAUACAAGAUAAAAAGAUUUAAUCAAAAAAUUUCAUAUUUGAAAUGAAGUCCCAAAUCUAGGUUCAAGUUCAAUAGCUUAGCCACAUAAUACGGUUGUGCGAGCAGAGAAUCUACCUUUCCACUUCUAAGCCUGUUUCUUCCUCCAUAUGGGGAUAAUACUUUACAAGGUUGUUGUGAGGCUUAGAUGAGAUAGAGAAUUAUUCCAUAAGAUAAUCAAGUGCUACAUUAAUGUUAUAGUUAGAUUAAUCCAAGAACUAGUCACCCUACUUUAUUAGAGAAGAGAAAAGCUAAUGAUUUGAUUUGCAGAAUAUUUAAGGUUUGGAUUUCUAUGCAGUUUUUCUAAAUAACCAUCACUUACAAAUAUGUAACCAAACGUAAUUGUUAGUAUAUUUAAUGUAAACUUGUUUUAACAACUCUUCUCAACAUUUUGUCCAGGUUAUUCACUGUAACCAAAUAAAUCUCAUGAGUCUUUAGUUGAUUUAAAAUAAUUUUUAUGGCCCAUUUUCUUUUGCAAAGUACAAAUUAUAAUUCCAGAAGCUAUCUGCCAAAAAAAGACAAUGGAAGAAAAUUAUGAGGACACUAAAGGGAACAUUCCUGACUCCUAGGACACAGUAUUCUCAUGUAAGAAUACCCAUUUGGCUUUGCCCCACUUUCUGUUCAAGUUGUAUGUGCUGCCAAGACAAAUUUCUUCUCCUCACUUUCUGUUCAAGUUGUAUGUGCUGCCAACACAAAUUUCUUCUCCUAACACCUGGAAUGAGCUUGUGGCUCCACGGAGCUCCCAUGUAGGUAGAACACAUUCAAGAGUGUUUCUUCAGGCCAGGCACAGUGGCUCACGCCUAUAAUUCCAACACUUUGGGAGGCCAAGGCGGGUGGUUCACUUGAGGUCAGGAGUUCUACACUACCCUGGCCAACAUAGUGAAACCUCGUCUCUACUAAAAAUACAAAAAUUAGCUAGGCAUGGUGGUGCGUGCCUGUAAUCCCAGAUACUCAGGAGGCUGGGGCAGAAGAAUCACUUGAACCCAGGAGGUGGAGUUCACAGUGAACGAAGAUCGUGCCACUGCCCUCCAGCCUGGGUGACAGAGUGAGACUCCAUCUCAAAAAAAAAAAAAAGUGUCUGUUCAAUUCAUUUUAUCUGCCACUGUAUAUCUACAAGAGGACUCCUUGCUUUGAGUCCCAGUUCUUCAAAAUCCUGCUUGCUGCC